GCCUUCGUGGUGUAGUGGUGAGCACGCUCGGUGUAUAUUCAAGAGGUCCAUGGUUCAAGUCCCGGCGAGGGCA
Non-coding RNA from Stegodyphus mimosarum, 73 nucleotides. The record is from Rfam. Lineage: Eukaryota; Metazoa; Arthropoda; Arachnida; Araneae; Eresidae.